RNAcentral lists this ribosomal RNA (356 nucleotides) under Bacillus amyloliquefaciens. Its description in RNAcentral is "bacterial SSU rRNA". It matches the Rfam family "Bacterial small subunit ribosomal RNA", at positions 828 to 1185 of the family's 1533-position model. The record is from RNAcentral. Lineage: Bacteria; Bacillati; Bacillota; Bacilli; Caryophanales; Bacillaceae.
GGUUUCCGCCCCUUAGUGCUGCAGCUAACGCAUUAAGCACUCCGCCUGGGGAGUACGGUCGCAAGACUGAAACUCAAAGGAAUUGACGGGGGCCCGCACAAGCGGUGGAGCAUGUGGUUUAAUUCGAAGCAACGCGAAGAACCUUACCAGGUCUUGACAUCCUCUGACAAUCCUAGAGAUAGGACGUCCCCUUCGGGGGCAGAGUGACAGGUGGUGCAUGGUUGUCGUCAGCUCGUGUCGUGAGAUGUUGGGUUAAGUCCCGCAACGAGCGCAACCCUUGAUCUUAGUUGCCAGCAUUCAGUUGGGCACUCUAAGGUGACUGCCGGUGACAAACCGGAGGAAGGUGGGGAUGACGU